This 400-nucleotide ribosomal RNA is filed under the name uncultured bacterium. RNAcentral describes it as "bacterial SSU rRNA". It matches the Rfam family "Bacterial small subunit ribosomal RNA", at positions 355 to 772 of the family's 1533-position model. The record is from RNAcentral.
UGGGGAAUAUUGCACAAUGGGGGGAACCCUGAUGCAGCGACGCCGCGUGAGUGAAGAAGUAUUUCGGUAUGUAAAGCUCUAUCAGCAGGAAAGAUAAUGACGGUACCUGACUAAGAAGCUCCGGCUAAAUACGUGCCAGCAGCCGCGGUAAUACGUAUGGAGCAAGCGUUAUCCGGAUUUACUGGGUGUAAAGGGAGCGUAGGCGGCCAGGCAAGUCUGAUGUGAAAUCCCGGGGCCCAACCCCGGAGCUGCAUUGGAAACUGCAGGGCUGGAGUGCCGGAGGGGUAAGCGGAAUUCCUAGUGUAGCGGUGAAAUGCGUAGAUAUUAGGAGGAACACCGGUGGCGAAGGCGGCUUACUGGACGGCAACUGACGCUGAGGCUCGAAAGCGUGGGGAGCAAA